CCUACGGUGUGCAGCAGUGGGGAAUAUUGGGCAAUGGGCGCAAGCCUGACCCAGCAACGCCGCGUGAAGGCAGAAGGCUUUCGGGUUGUAAACUUCUUUUAAGAGGGAAGAGCAAAAGACGGUACCUCUUGAAUAAGCCACGGCUAACUACGUGCCAGCAGCCGCGGUAAUACGUAGGUGGCAAGCGUUGUACGGAUUUAUUGGGUUUAAAGGGUGCGCAGGCGGAAGAUCAAGUCAGCGGUAAAAUUGAGAGGCGCAACCUCUUCGAGCCGUUGAAACUGGUUUUCUUGAGUGAGUGAGAAGUAUGCGGAAUGCGUGGUGUAGCGGUGAAAUGCAUAGAUAUCACGCAGAACUCCGAUUGCGAAGGCAGCAUACCGGCGCUCAACUGACGCUCAUGCACGAAAGUGUGGGUAUCGAACAGGAUUAGAUACCCGGGUAGUC
RNAcentral lists this ribosomal RNA (441 nucleotides) under uncultured bacterium. RNAcentral describes it as "partial 16S ribosomal RNA". It matches the Rfam family "Bacterial small subunit ribosomal RNA", at positions 338 to 795 of the family's 1533-position model. The record is from RNAcentral.